CAGAGGGUGCAAGCGUUAAUCGGGAUUUACUGGGCGUAAAGCGCGCGUAGGUGGCCAAUUAAGUCAAAUGUGAAAUCCCCGAGCUUAACUUGGGAAUUGCAUUUCGAUACUGGUUGGCUAGAGUAUGGGAGAGGAUGGUAGAAUUCCAGGUGUAGCGGUGAAAUGCGUAGAGAUCUGGAGGAAUACCGAUGGCGAAGGCAGCCAAUCUGGCCUAAAUACUAGACACUGAGGUGCGAAAAGCAUGGGAGCAAAACAGGAUU
RNAcentral lists this ribosomal RNA (260 nucleotides) under uncultured bacterium. Its description in RNAcentral is "partial 16S ribosomal RNA". It matches the Rfam family "Bacterial small subunit ribosomal RNA", at positions 526 to 779 of the family's 1533-position model. The record is from RNAcentral.